RNAcentral lists this long non-coding RNA (301 nucleotides) under Homo sapiens (human). RNAcentral describes it as "non-protein coding lnc-GAP43-11:1". Lineage: Eukaryota; Metazoa; Chordata; Mammalia; Primates; Hominidae. The record is from RNAcentral.
UCCUUGUCACUUCUCCUUCCAAACGUCUCACCUCCAAAACUCAGAUGGAGCCAGCUGCUUCAAGAUGCAGACAACAUCAUCUUUUUUUUUAAACUAUAGUGCAGGCAAUCAUGGUUUACAAACUAGUUUGAAGUAUACAAACUCACCUUACUCAGCUAGAUCGGAUAAGUUACAACUCUACAGACUCAGCAUAUUAAGUUAAAAAUUGCUUAAAGCACUGUGCCAACUCUUCAAUGUCUUUCUUAUUUCACUUUCUAGGCAGGGCAGCAGAUUUCUUCUCAGUCAUUUUGAAUUGCUCUAU